This is a long non-coding RNA of Passer domesticus (house sparrow), 431 nucleotides long. RefSeq lists it as uncharacterized. NCBI's taxonomy places the organism in Eukaryota, Metazoa, Chordata, Aves, Passeriformes, Passeridae. The transcript is spliced from 3 exons. The record is from RefSeq and is a predicted model, not a curated record.
AAUGUGCUGACACUGCAGCAUCUUUGUGAACCAGCUGGCAGACACUGCUUUGGCUUCCACCUUGCUCCCAGGAACAGAAUCUGGCAGUUUCCAGCAGGGACAGGAAAGUGCAGAGCAACGUUCUAAAGCCAUUAAGAAGUGCUAGGACAACUCAGUUUCUAACAUUCCAGAGCUCUUGAGAUGUAAUGUUCUCACUCUACAGCUCAGCAUGUAUUUUCAGUGGAUAUGUUAAAAGAAUGCUUAAAUGCAAAGCUGGUGAAUAAAGAAAAGAUCAUUCUGUAGCAAUUUUUAGCAGUCCCUGCUUUGUCUCUCAGAAGAAAUUUGGAGACUGAAGAGAAAUUAGAAGCAUCUGAAAAUGGAUUGUCUUGCUCUUCCAUACAGAAUCAGGCACACCAUGGGAUUAAUGAAGACACCCAAAGAGGACAAAGCUG